ACACCAGAGGCUGCCGGAGGCCAAAUCAGAACAGCACAAACUUUAAAACUCUCCAGAAAAAAGAAAAGUAGCAAAUGGGGCAGAGGACAUCUGCUCACACCACACCCAUCGAAGCCCAGGCUAGCCCCUUUCAAACCACAGAGACUCGGGGCAAGAGGAUGAUGAUGCAUUACUAGGAGAAAUUAUAAUGAUGGCGAGUUUGGAGAGAUGUACUUAACUGGGUGAGGAAGACGAUGUGCCAUCCACUAUGAAGGCAAGUCCAUCCUCUCUCUUAUCUUCUAAAACAACCUUUCAUGGUAUUUGAUUUUCCCUGAAAAUUGCAUAACUUUCUGGUAAGUUGGCUGGGACAAUCUCCACACACAUGAUCACAUCCUGAUUAAAGAAGCAGCUCUUACAAGGAUGUUUCUUUGUAGCCCUGGCUAUCCUGGAACUCCCUGUGUAGACCAGGCUGGCCUCAAGCUAAGAGAUCCACUUGCGUCUGCCACUCGAGUGCUGGGAUUAAAGGCGUGUGCCACCACUGCCUGGCUGCCAUUUUGUUCGUGUGUCUUCGUCUCGGCAAGAGGGGAGCUGUUCCGCAGAGAGUGUGCAUACAGACAGGGUGCUAGCAUCUGGAAGGGGUGCAAUAGAAGUUGACUCUGAGAGUGAGAAAAAGCCGGAAACUUGAGUCACGCGCAGCUGACAGGGGAUAAACACCUGUCAACACCACGGCGGUUUGGCAGACUGCCCUUCUCCUCUGGUCCGUGGCUUCCUGUCGCGCCCUCUACUGGUAAUGCCUAACAAAUUGCUCACUGUUAAAUCUGAUUUGCAGAAUCCCACAACAGCUUCUUCCAGUUUGGGGCUUCUGUCAGUCUUAUUUCUGUGGUCAUAUAGAGCACUAAUUCUAGAAAAAGGCUUAAUCUAGCUUCCUGCACAUGAUUUUUGGGCUUGAGUCUCUAUCAGGUAACUAGGAAUUAAGUUUGUGUACCCUGGAUGCACUUAACAAAUUGUGGUCCUUUAACUUCUCUGAGAUCGGCUGCAUAUGACAUUUAAAAUAUUUAA
This is a long non-coding RNA of Peromyscus eremicus (cactus mouse), 1038 nucleotides long. RefSeq lists it as uncharacterized. Lineage: Eukaryota; Metazoa; Chordata; Mammalia; Rodentia; Cricetidae. The record is from RefSeq and is a predicted model, not a curated record. The transcript is spliced from 3 exons.